Molecule: ribosomal RNA, 253 nt
Filed under: uncultured bacterium
Lineage: Bacteria
Description: partial 16S ribosomal RNA
Rfam family: Bacterial small subunit ribosomal RNA
Source: RNAcentral
UACGGAGGGGGCAAGCGUUGUUCGGAAUUACUGGGCGUAAAGAGCGCGUAGGCGGGUUGACCAGUCAGGCGUGAAAGCCCGGGGCUCAACCUCGGAACUGCGUUUGAAACAGGACUGCUAGAGUCCGGGAGGGGUUCGUGGAAUACCGAGUGUAGAGGUGAAAUUCGUAGAUAUUCGGUGGAACACCAGUGGCGAAGGCGACGAACUGGACCGGUACUGACGCUGAGGUGCGAAAGUGUGGGGAGCAAACAGG